This is an RNA transcript of Elephantulus edwardii (Cape elephant shrew), 2543 nucleotides long. It is a transcript of the gene named M-phase phosphoprotein 8-like, with no coding region annotated. The record is from RefSeq and is a predicted model, not a curated record. The transcript has 14 exons. Lineage: Eukaryota; Metazoa; Chordata; Mammalia; Macroscelidea; Macroscelididae.
AUGGCGGCGUCACCUGCUGCCGAGGGAAUAACCACGUCUGCGCUUCUUGUUCCAAGUGCUGACAGCAAUGAUGAGUCUCCCGAAGUCGAAGUCGAAGUAGCUGGAGAAGAGAAGGACUCGCCCGCAAAAGUAGCGGAGGCCGUUGGGGACAGCGAGGAAGACGGGGAGGAUGUGUUCGAAGUGGAGAAGAUCCUGGACAUGAAGACCGAGGGGGGCAAAAUUCUUUACAAAGUUCGAUGGAAAGGAUAUACAUCAGAUGACGAUACCUGGGAGCCUGAGGUUCACCUUGAAGACUGCAAAGAAGUUCUGCUUGAAUUUAGGAAGAAAAUUGCUGACAACAAAGCCAAAUCAAUAAAGAAGGAUAUUCAGAGAUUAUCCUUAAAUAAUGACAUAUUUGAAGCAAACUCUGAUAGUGAUCAGCAAAGUGAGACAAAGGAAGAUACAUCUUCAAAGAAGAAAAAGAAAAAAUUAAGACAAAGAGAGGAGAAAAGUCCAGAUGAUUUGAAAAAGAAAAAACCAAAGACUGGGAAAGUAAAAGAUAAGUCCACUUCAGAUCUGGAGAGCUCCACAGACAAUUUAGGUUUUGAUCUAAGGACAAAGAAAAGAAUACUGGAUGUCAAAGAAGACUUAAAGGAAUUUAAAAAGUCCAAGAAAGAUGAUCCAAAAGAACUAAAGAAAGUGAAAAAGAAUGAAUUAAAAGAUUUUAAGACGAAAGUAAGAGAAUAUGUUAAAGAAAACAGAAAAGCAAAAAAAGACAAAUACACUGAAUCUCAGGAGUCUGAAUCAAGUAUUCUAAAUGAUUCCCUUUCUCAAGAUGAUGACAAUGAAGAUUUACAUUCUGACAAAGAAGAGAAGCAAAAGUUUAAAGGUACAAAAGAGAAACUAGGUCGAGAUACAGUUUCAGAUGUUUUUGAUAAACAAUUAGAUGACAAAGUAAGUGCUGAUGAGGAUAGUGAUGUGAGGACAGAGAGGAAAAAGAAGAAAGUAAGGAAAGCUGAAGAACAUAAAGAGAACAAAAAGGUAGAUAACAGUGACCUUUUCUCAGAGAAGAAAAAUACAUUUAAAAAGCAAAGGAAUCAAGACAAAGGCAAAAGUACCACCGAGACAUCUCCAUCUGUCCCGGCACAAAAAGCUGGAGAAGAGAGAGGCCUCAGUUUCACUGAUUCAACUGGAAAGGAAAAAGAGAUCAAGAAAAGUGAACCCAAAGAAAAAUAUCAGAAAAGACAUGAUUCUGACAAAGAUGAAAAAGGCAGAAAAGAGCCAAAGGGAUUAAAGACAUUUAAGGAAAUCAGAAGUGCAUUUGAUAUAUUUAAAUUAACUGCAGAAGAAAAAAAUGAACUCAAUGAGAAUAUUCGAAAGAAAGAAGAAAUACCAUUGGAUUAUAAAAUUACAGAAGAUCACAAAGCCAAGGAUAACAGGUUUCUUAAAGACAGGAGAAAUACGAGAGAUGAAACAGAUACUUGGGCAUAUAUAGCUGCUGAAGGUGAUCAAGAAGUUCUAGACAGUGUUUGUCAAGCAGAUGAAAAUUCUGAUGGCAAGCAACAACUUUUGAGUUUGGGAAUGGACUUGCAGUUGGAAUGGAUGAAACUGGAAGAUUUUCAAAAGCAUCUUGAUGGAGAAGAUGAGAAUUUUACCACAGCAGAUGCAAUUCCAAGUAAUUUAUUGAGGGAUGCUGUGAAAAAUGGGGACUAUAUUACUGUGAAGAUUGCACUUAAUUCAAGUGAAGAAUAUAACCUUGAACAAGAGGAUUCAAGUGGGAUGACUCUGGUGAUGCUUGCUGCAGCUGGAGGACAGGAUGACCUCCUCAGACUUCUCAUCAAAAAAGGAGCCAAAGUGAAUGGGAGACAGAAGAAUGGGACCACCGCACUGAUUCACGCAGCUGAGAAGAACUUUUUAACAACUGUGGCUAUUCUUUUGGAAGCUGGAGCUUUUGUGAAUGUCCAGCAGAGCAAUGGUGAGACGGCUUUAAUGAAGGCCUGUAAAAGAGGAAAUUCAGACAUUGUGCGGCUUGUUAUUGAAUGUGGAGCAGACUGUAAUAUUUUGUCAAAGCACCAGAAUAGUGCACUCCAUUUCGCGAAGCAGUGUAACAAUGUGUUGGUGUAUGAUCUGCUGAAGAAUCAUUUAGAAACACUUUCAAGAGUAGCAGAAGAUACCAUAAGGGAUUACUUUGAAGCCCGUCUUGCUUUGCUAGAACCAGUUUUUUUUUUCCAAUAGCAUGCCGUUGUCUUUGUGAGGGACCAGAUUUUUCAACAGAUUUCAAUUAUAAGCCCCCACAGAACGUACCAGAAGGUUCUGGUAUCCUGCUGUUUAUUUUCCAUGCAAACUUUUUGGGGAAAGAAGUCAUUGCUCGACUCUGUGGACCAUGUAGUGUACAAGCAGUAGUUUUAAAUGAUAAAUUUCAACUUCCUGUAUUUCUGGAUAGCCAUUUUGUUUAUUCAUUCAGUCCUGUUGCUGGCCUCAAUAAACUCUUCAUAAGAUUGACAGAAGCACCCUCUGCUAAGGUUAAGUUGCUGAUAGGUGCCUACAGAGUGCAGCUGCAGUGA